RNAcentral lists this ribosomal RNA (468 nucleotides) under uncultured bacterium. RNAcentral describes it as "partial 16S ribosomal RNA". It matches the Rfam family "Bacterial small subunit ribosomal RNA", at positions 28 to 507 of the family's 1533-position model. The record is from RNAcentral.
GACGAACGCUGGCGGCGUGCUUAACACAUGCAAGUCGAACGGAAAGGCCCUGCUUUUGUGGGGUGCUCGAGUGGCGAACGGGUGAGUAACACGUGAGUAACAUGCCCUUGACUUUGGGAUAACUUCAGGAAACUGGGGCUAAUACCGGAUAGGAGCUCCUGCUGCAUGGUGGGGGUUGGAAAGUUUCGGCGGUUGGGGCUGGACUCGCGGCUUAUCCGCUUGUUGGUGGGGUAGUUGCUUACCAAGGCUUUGACGGGUAGCCGGCCUGGGAGGUGGGACGGCCUCAUGGGGCCUGCGAGACGGCGCAGACUCCUACGGGAGGCAGUAGGCGAGAAUAUGGCAGAACGGGGCGAAGUCAGUGGUAGCAACGUCGCGAGCGUGAUGCCCGGCUUCGGGGGGUAAACCGAUUUCUCCUGUGACGAAGCGUUAUUGACGGUAAUGGGUAAAGAAGCACCGGCUAACUACGUG